AAUAAGCUAAUUAAGAGCGUAAGGUGGAUGCCUUGGCUCUCAGAGGCGAUGAAGGACGUGAUAAGCUGCGAUAAGCUACGGGGAUUGGCACACACAAUUUGAUCCGUAGAUUUCCGAAUGGGGAAACCCACUAUAUUGAAGAUAUAGUAUCCGUUAAGGAAGCAAACCCAGGGAACUGAAACAUCUAAGUACCUGGAGGAAUAGAAAACAAAAGUGAUUCCGCUAGUAGUGGCGAGCGAACGCGGAUCAGCCCAAACCAAAAUUGUUUCGGCAAUUUUGGGG
This 282-nucleotide ribosomal RNA is filed under the name uncultured Flavobacteriaceae bacterium. RNAcentral describes it as "partial 23S ribosomal RNA". It matches the Rfam family "Bacterial large subunit ribosomal RNA", at positions 1 to 297 of the family's 2925-position model. Lineage: Bacteria; Pseudomonadati; Bacteroidota; Flavobacteriia; Flavobacteriales; Flavobacteriaceae. The record is from RNAcentral.